UAGGAAAACCCGACGAAAUAACAGACGUAGAGUGUCGUGGAGUAGAUUUUGUGUAGCUGAGCUGUUCUUGGUGCAGGGGGCGUAGGGCUUGUGGCAAGACCGUAUUUGGUACACCAAUAUGGCGUCCAGCAGUGAUGUCAGCAUCUUCUGCUGUCUCCUAGUGGUCGUGUCGAUAUGUCUCCAUCCUCUCCUUCCGAGCACCAGGGCACAGAUGGUAACAAGACGAGGGACAAAGCUUGGACGAUUCUACAGACUAC
Long non-coding RNA from Physella acuta, 257 nucleotides. RefSeq lists it as uncharacterized. NCBI's taxonomy places the organism in Eukaryota, Metazoa, Mollusca, Gastropoda, Physidae. The record is from RefSeq and is a predicted model, not a curated record.